ACAACAACAACAACAAGCUUGAAACUAGAAUGGCAGCUUUUUAUUUCUUCCACUUCUUCUUCGUGUUGUUCACAACAUUAAAGUUUUUCUUCUAUUUUAUCCUAGAAAUAUCUUGAUGAUGAUGAUGAUAGAAAUGGUGGUGGUGGUGACGAUGAUGGUGGAUCACAAGGUUGAAUAAUUUAUUUCAUUCCAAUCGUUACAAUCAUGCAUGUAUUUUGAAAAAUGAGUAAAUAAAGUCCAUAAAAAUAAAGUUCAAGUCACGAUUGAUUUGAUUAAUGAUUAAAAAACAAAAAGGAAAAUGGCCACCAUUUUAUCGUUCUGAAAUAGUUUGACAAACACACACACAUACACACUAAGAAUGAAAUAUUCAAUAUCUGAAAAAGUCAAAGGCGCGCAACUCACGCCAGUUGUAUCAUAUAAAUAUACCGCGCUUGCUUAUAAUAAACGAUCACAUUGUAUGAUUCUACACCGUGUACAAACUCUAUGACUGAUUGGCGAUAGAAACCAGUUUUUCUCAUGCAGCUGCAUACUGACAAAACCAUGCUUUAUUUGUUUUUUGUUUCAUCGAGUUCAAAAUUAAAGUUAUAAUUUGUAUCAUCAAUUGUUUCAUCAUUCAACUGUUCUACUUUCAAUGAUCCAUUCAUAUUCUGAUUUCGAAUUCAGUAUCAAAUAAAAUUGCAGAGAUAAUAGAAUAGAAUUGUUACAUUAUUCAUUCAUUCAUCAUUUGACAAAGUUGUGGUCCAUU
Long non-coding RNA from Dermatophagoides farinae (American house dust mite), 745 nucleotides. RefSeq lists it as uncharacterized. Lineage: Eukaryota; Metazoa; Arthropoda; Arachnida; Sarcoptiformes; Pyroglyphidae. The record is from RefSeq and is a predicted model, not a curated record.